AUGGCGGGGGACUCCAAGAAGGAGAAGGCUGUGGAGAGGAGUGACCCGACGGCCAACCUCACCGAUGACCACCUCGUGGAGAUCAUCUCGCGUGUUCCGUACAAGUCCACCUGCUGCUGCAAGUGCGUCUCCACGCGCUGGCGCGACCUCUUCUCCCACCCUGACCACCGCAAGAAGAUGCCACAGUCCCUCGCCGGAUUCUUCUAUGAGGUCAAGGGGGUUUGCUAUUUCACCAACGUCUCAGGAAAAGAUGACUCUCCCGUCCUCUCAUUCUUGCCAAGAGAAUGUCACAGCCUUGACAUCUUGGACUGCUGCAAUGGUUUCCUCAUCUGCCGCUGCUGGAAGGCGACUGAUCCUGAGACACUGGAUUACAUCGUCUGUAAUCCCGCCACUGAGAAAUGGGUGGUUGUUCCUCCAACCAGCUGGUCCAGCGAGGUGGAGGUCGCUCGCUUGGGGUUCGACCCUUUGGUCUCCUCCCACUUUCAUGUGUUCGAAUUCAUAAUUGAUGAGACCUGGCUUGAAUAUGAGGAUGACAGCAGAUGCCUUAAUUAA
Molecule: ribosomal RNA, 552 nt
Filed under: Triticum aestivum (bread wheat)
Lineage: Eukaryota; Viridiplantae; Streptophyta; Magnoliopsida; Poales; Poaceae
Description: partial small subunit ribosomal RNA
Source: RNAcentral